GCAUCCGUAGCUCAGCUGGAUAGAGUACUCGGCUACGAACCGAGCGGUCGGGAGGUUCGAAUCCUCCCGGAUGCACCA
Molecule: transfer RNA, 78 nt
Filed under: Salmonella enterica subsp. arizonae
Lineage: Bacteria; Pseudomonadati; Pseudomonadota; Gammaproteobacteria; Enterobacterales; Enterobacteriaceae
Also listed under: 2 other names
Description: tRNA-Arg(acg)
Rfam family: tRNA
About the family: Transfer RNA (tRNA) molecules are approximately 80 nucleotides in length. Their secondary structure includes four short double-helical elements and three loops (D, anti-codon, and T loops). Further hydrogen bonds mediate the characteristic L-shaped molecular structure. tRNAs have two regions of fundamental functional importance: the anti-codon, which is responsible for specific mRNA codon recognition, and the 3' end, to which the tRNAs corresponding amino acid is attached (by aminoacyl-tRNA synthetases). tRNAs cope with the degeneracy of the genetic code in two manners: having more than one tRNA (with a specific anti-codon) for a particular amino acid; and 'wobble' base-pairing, i.e. permitting non-standard base-pairing at the 3rd anti-codon position.
Source: RNAcentral